GGACGAACGCUGGCGGCGUGCUUAACACAUGCAAGUCGAACGGAAAGGCCCUGCUUUUGUGGGGUGCUCGCGUGGCGAACGGGUGCGUAACACGUGAGUAACCUUCCCUUGACUUUGGGAUAACUUCAGGAAACUGGGGCUAAUACCGGAUAGGUGCUCCUGCUUCUUUGUGGGGUUUGGAAAUUUUCGGCGGUUGGGGUUUGACUCGCUGCUUAUCAGCUUGUUGGUGGGGUAGUGGCUUACCAAGGCUUUGACGGGUAGCCGGCCUGAGAGGGUGACCGGCGACAUUGGGACUGAGAUACGGCACAGACUCCUACGGGAGGCAGCAGUGGGGAAUAUUGCACAAUGGGCGGAAGCCUGAUGAAGAAACGCCGCGUGCGGGAUGACGGCCUUCGGGUUGUAAACCGCUUUCGACUGUGACGAAGAGUGAGUGACGGUAAUGGGUAAAGAAGCAACGGCUAACUACGUG
RNAcentral lists this ribosomal RNA (469 nucleotides) under uncultured bacterium. RNAcentral's name for it is "partial 16S ribosomal RNA". It matches the Rfam family "Bacterial small subunit ribosomal RNA", at positions 27 to 507 of the family's 1533-position model. The record is from RNAcentral.